Pongo pygmaeus (Bornean orangutan) is the source of this 1596-nucleotide long non-coding RNA. RefSeq lists it as uncharacterized. The record is from RefSeq and is a predicted model, not a curated record. The transcript has 3 exons. Lineage: Eukaryota; Metazoa; Chordata; Mammalia; Primates; Hominidae.
UCUGCCUGAUGCUGCUACAGCCUCGCUGGGAAGCUGAGGGCUGGGCUUUUAUUUAAGUUGGGUUGAGCAGUGGGGAAAGGCUGGGGGGAGGACACAGCCCAGGUUCACGGGGAGGACACAGCAUUUUCUCUCCCAUUGCCUUUAUAUUCGGCAGCGCCUCUGACCUCUCCCCCACCCCCAUCUCUGACCCUCCCAAGCCAGCCCUUGCUCAGCCCUGGUCUCCAGAUAGGAUGCCACUGCUUUUGUAGGACUGGGGAUUUCUUGCCCAGAGUAAUGGGAGAGGCAAGGCGCAUGAAUGCCUGUAAGUGCAUUGUAUCCCUCUCUCUUCAAUGGCUAAGUAAAAAGAAGACGGGUGAAAUGGCGACACCAAUCUUCCAGGGUUCCUUCUCUCCAAGCGCCAGGAGAUCCCCACAGGCCAAAGAUCCCAUUGACACGAAACCCUGAAAAAAGGGGACAAUAAAGCUGAAUUGGAGCCCCAACCUGCUCUGUCCCCAUCUCCUCUGCACCCAGGUGAGCCAGUCAGGGCGGCAACAGAAAAUAAAUGACACAUUCGAAAGGGUUUCACUGAAGGGUUGAGUGAUGUGACAGUUUCUAAAGGCAUAGACCAGAUGAAGAAAACUAAUAAGGGCUAGUGUGGCACCAGGAUAGAAAUAUCUCUACCAAAGCCCGAUGCCGACUGGGGUCACGGGACACAGCAGAGAGGCCACUCAGCAACGCUGUGAACAUAGAAGAACCACAACCACCACCAGAGCUUCAGGGAUGUCUUUUCAGUUGGCGGGUCAAACCUGUCUCAGGCACAUCUGCCCAGCUCAUGAAAGAGAGAACACAAAGGAGAAUUUACCCAAUGUCGUCAGGCAUUGAGGACAUGCUCGCCUCACAUUCCCCUGUGUCUACACCUGGCAACAAGAGCAGCUGGGAAAUGGAGUGUCCAGCUGGGUGUCUCUCUACCCUCAUGCAGCAAGGAAAGAAGAGAUUUUAGUGGACAGUGGGCAGUCUUAAUCCAGGGCUCAAACCCACACCUGAGCUGUCCUCUUCCUCUUCUCUUCCCGAAGGAAGGGAAAUAAAGUCUACAGCCCAGAAAACAAUGUGACCACCCAUCCCCUACCCAAUCAGAUCCCUGCCAUUCAUCCCAAGAUCAGCAGUCUUGGGAAAGUGGCUUGGAAGCCUCCCUCCAGAAGGACCACCCUUUUGUCCAUCUUUUUCACAUGGGUGGAUGUGAGAAAAGUUUCUGUCCCCACUGCCUGCCUGCCACUCCCUGUCUCAGUUUCAGCUUACGCCCUAGCCCUUUGUUCCCAGUCACCAAGAGUGACUACAAAUGUGGGGGAACAGGAGGACCUGAAACAGUCAUGGAAGUUGAGACUGGGACACAGAAGCCAUGCUCAGAGGCAGCCUAGGUGAGAGUUCUGAUGCCAGGAAAUCCAGCUACUGCUGUGUAACCUAAAGCGGGGAUUAAGCUCUCAGAACUUCAAUGAACUCUUUUGGAAAUAGGGAUAAGAAACCCACUUGUCAGGGCUGUUGUGAACAUCAAAUGUGAUCAUGUAUGUACCUAGUACAUAGUAUGCCUUCAAUAAAUGGGUAAGGCAAACCCAAAGCAAA